Ribozyme from Pygocentrus nattereri (red-bellied piranha), 264 nucleotides. It matches the Rfam family "RNase MRP". From Rfam's summary of the family: RNase MRP is an enzymatically active ribonucleoprotein with two distinct roles in eukaryotes. In mitochondria it plays a direct role in the initiation of mitochondrial DNA replication. The record is from Ensembl. Lineage: Eukaryota; Metazoa; Chordata; Actinopteri; Characiformes; Serrasalmidae.
GCGCAUGCCUGAAAACUUGUGGUCUAAGCUACUAACUGAGAACAUCGAUUCUCUCCACAGGCUUAGGGGAAAGUCCCCGGACACUAAGCAGAAAUGCUCUGCCUAAAACGCAGAAGGGCCUAUCCGGUGGUGCGCGGAAGAGCUGCCGAGACGUCUAUGCAAAGCUGACCGAGCAGAGCGCAGCCGGAUACCUUGGUCACAGUUAGAGAAAUACAGGUAGGGAGUGAAAUACUCUACCAGAACGGGGCUCAGUCUCAGGAUGUG